AUGGAGGUCCUAGAUUCAAUCGUGGAGGUGAAGGAGGGUUUGCUAGAGGGAGAUUCAACUACAGUAACAGGGGGGUGGAUGGAAUGGAGAAGAUAUACUACAACUGACAGAUUUGGCAGUUUUGGAAGAGGAGGUGGUAGAUUUGGUGCUGGGAAUGAGGGUGGCAGAGGAGAUGAAGAUGAAGACGAAUUCGCCGCAGAAGGAAGGGAAGAAAAUCUGAUUUGGCAAGCUAAGACAGGAAAGAAAGAGGCAGUGGAAGAUAUGAUGGGGAGAGCAAAUGGUGAGGGAGACAGCUCUGGAAUGGAGAAAGGUAAGGAGAAAGAUACGAUGAUCCAGAAAGAGCAGAGUGCUCAGCAACAGCUACUGACCUCUCUGCUCUCUCAGUUAGUGCAAGGACUAAGAGGAGGGGAGAAAGAGAUGAUAGAAGGAGCGAUUGGAAAAUCUGUGGAGGUUCAGUCUGGUAGAGAUGGCAUGAGGAGAGAAGAGAAAACCAGAGAUCCCAUGCAGAAAGCUGACAAGAAAAGUGACCAAGAUCCAGUGAUGGAGAUGAAGAAACAGGGGGGAGAGGCAACUGGCAGUUGA
Molecule: ribosomal RNA, 582 nt
Filed under: Triticum aestivum (bread wheat)
Lineage: Eukaryota; Viridiplantae; Streptophyta; Magnoliopsida; Poales; Poaceae
Description: partial small subunit ribosomal RNA
Source: RNAcentral